Molecule: ribosomal RNA, 466 nt
Filed under: uncultured bacterium
Lineage: Bacteria
Description: bacterial SSU rRNA
Rfam family: Bacterial small subunit ribosomal RNA
Source: RNAcentral
GACGAACGCUGGCGGCGUGCCUAACACAUGCAAGUCAACUUGACUGAAGGAGCAAUCUGACAGUAGAGUGGCGCAAGGGUGCGUAACGCGUAAGUAACUUGCCCAAGGUAAGGAAUAACGUCGAGAAAUCGGCGCUAAUACCUCAUAAUGCAGCGGAUCCGCAUGGAUAUGUUGUUAAAGGUUUACCGCCUUGGGAUAGGCUUGCGUCUGAUUAGUUAGUUGGUGUGGUAACGGCACACCAAGGCUACGAUCAGUAACUGGUCUGAGAGGAUGAUCAGUCGCACUGGAACUGAGACACGGUCCAGACUCCUACGGGAGGCAGCAGUGAGGAAUAUUGGGCAAUGCUCGAAAGAGUGACCCAGCAACGCCGCGUGGAGGAUGAAGGUAUUCUAUAUCGUAAACUCCUGUGAGAGCAGACGAAAGACAGAUUAUUAAUCUGGAUGACUGUAUGCUCAGAGGAAGCCCC